UAGUGUGCAGCUCAGUGGUAGAGUGCAUGCCUAGCAAGUGUGAGGCCCUGGGUUCAAUCCCCAGUAACUAA
This 71-nucleotide transfer RNA is filed under the name Marmota monax (woodchuck). It matches the Rfam family "tRNA". Rfam says of the family: Transfer RNA (tRNA) molecules are approximately 80 nucleotides in length. Their secondary structure includes four short double-helical elements and three loops (D, anti-codon, and T loops). Lineage: Eukaryota; Metazoa; Chordata; Mammalia; Rodentia; Sciuridae. The record is from Rfam by way of RNAcentral.